This 301-nucleotide ribosomal RNA is filed under the name uncultured bacterium. RNAcentral's name for it is "partial 16S ribosomal RNA". It matches the Rfam family "Bacterial small subunit ribosomal RNA", at positions 509 to 808 of the family's 1533-position model. The record is from RNAcentral.
CAGUAGCCGCGGUAAUACGUAGGUGGCAAGCGUUAUCCGGAAUUAUUGGGCGUAAAGCGCGCGUAGGCGGUUUUUUAAGUCUGAUGUGAAAGCCCACGGCUCAACCGUGGAGGGUCAUUGGAAACUGGAAAACUUGAGCGCAGAAGAGGAAAGUGGAAUUCCAUGUGCAGCGGUGAAAUGCGCAGAGAUAUGGAGGAACACCAGUGGCGAAGGCGACUUUCUGUCUGUAACUGACGCUGAUGUGCGAAAGCGUGGGGAUCAAACAGGAUUAGAUACCCCAGUAGUCCCUGUCUCUUAUACA